Lyophyllum atratum is the source of this 98-nucleotide non-coding RNA. NCBI's taxonomy places the organism in Eukaryota, Fungi, Basidiomycota, Agaricomycetes, Agaricales, Lyophyllaceae. The record is from the annotation of a GenBank genome assembly.
GGGGGAAUAGCUCAGUUGGGAGAGCAGCAGACUGAAGUCGAUACCGAUGCGAAACCAAGUUAUUCUGAAGGUCCCGCGUUCAAUCCGCGGUGCCCCCA